AGAGUUUGAUCCUGGCUCAGGAUGAACGCUAGCUACAGGCUUAACACAUGCAAGUCGAGGGGCAGCAUGUUGGUUGCUUGCAACCAAUGAUGGCGACCGGCGCACGGGUGAGUAACGCGUAUCCAACCUACCCUUGUCCAUCGGAUAACCCGUCGAAAGGCGGCCUAACACGAUAUGCGGUUCACCGCAGGCAUCUAACGUGAACGAAAUGUGAAGGAGAAGGAUGGGGAUGCGUCUGAUUAGCUUGUUGGCGGGGUAACGGCCCACCAAGGCGACGAUCAGUAGGGGUUCUGAGAGGAAGGUCCCCCACAUUGGAACUGAGACACGGUCCAAACUCCUACGGGAGGCAGCAGUGAGGAAUAUUGGUCAAUGGGCGAGAGCCUGAACCAGCCAAGUAGCGUGCAGGAUGACGGCCCUAUGGGUUGUAAACUGCUUUUAUAAGGGAAUAAAGUGAGAGUCGUGACUCUUUUUGCAUGUACCUUAUGAAUAAGGACCGGCUAAUUCCGUGCCAGCAGCCGCGGUAAUACGGAAGGUCCGGGCGUUAUCCGGAUUUAUUGGGUUUAAAGGGAGCGUAGGCCGGAGAUUAAGCGUGUUGUGAAAUGUAGACGCUCAACGUCUGCACUGCAGCGCGAACUGGUUUCCUUGAGUACGCACAAAGUGGGCGGAAUUCGUGGUGUAGCGGUGAAAUGCUUAGAUAUCACGAAGAACUCCGAUUGCGAAGGCAGCUCACUGGAGCGCAACUGACGCUGAAGCUCGAAAGUGCGGGUAUCGAACAGGAUUAGAUACCCUGGUAGUCCGCACGGUAAACGAUGGAUGCCCGCUGUUGGUCUGAAUAGGUCAGCGGCCAAGCGAAAGCAUUAAGCAUCCCACCUGGGGAGUACGCCGGCAACGGUG
Molecule: ribosomal RNA, 894 nt
Filed under: uncultured bacterium
Lineage: Bacteria
Description: bacterial SSU rRNA
Rfam family: Bacterial small subunit ribosomal RNA
Source: RNAcentral